This 549-nucleotide ribosomal RNA is filed under the name uncultured bacterium. RNAcentral's name for it is "bacterial SSU rRNA". It matches the Rfam family "Bacterial small subunit ribosomal RNA", at positions 355 to 896 of the family's 1533-position model. The record is from RNAcentral.
UAGGGAAUCUUCCGCAAUGGGCGAAAGCCUGACGGAGCAACGCCGCGUGAGUGAAGAAGGAUUUCGGUUCGUAAAGCUCUGUUGUUAGGGAAGAAUGAUUGUGUAGUAACUAUACACAGUAGAGACGGUACCUAACCAGAAAGCCACGGCUAACUACGUGCCAGCAGCCGCGGUAAUACGUAGGUGGCAAGCGUUGUCCGGAUUUAUUGGGCGUAAAGCGAGCGCAGGCGGUUAGAUAAGUCUGAAGUUAAAGGCUGUGGCUUAACCAUAGUACGCUUUGGAAACUGUUUAACUUGAGUGCAAGAGGGGAGAGUGGAAUUCCAUGUGUAGCGGUGAAAUGCGUAGAUAUAUGGAGGAACACCGGUGGCGAAAGCGGCUCUCUGGCUUGUAACUGACGCUGAGGCUCGAAAGCGUGGGGAGCAAACAGGAUUAGAUACCCUGGUAGUCCACGCCGUAAACGAUGAGUGCUAGGUGUUAGACCCUUUCCGGGGUUUAGUGCCGCAGCUAACGCAUUAAGCACUCCGCCUGGGGAGUACGACCGCAAGGUUG